GGUAGCGUGGCCGAGUGGUCUAAGGCGCUGGUUUUAGGCACCAGUCUCCUUCGGGGGCGUGGGUUCGAAUCCACCGCUGCCA
This 82-nucleotide transfer RNA is filed under the name Rhipicephalus microplus (southern cattle tick). Its description in RNAcentral is "tRNA-Leu". It matches the Rfam family "tRNA". Rfam says of the family: Transfer RNA (tRNA) molecules are approximately 80 nucleotides in length. The record is from Rfam by way of RNAcentral. Lineage: Eukaryota; Metazoa; Arthropoda; Arachnida; Ixodida; Ixodidae.